Molecule: ribosomal RNA, 253 nt
Filed under: uncultured bacterium
Lineage: Bacteria
Description: partial 16S ribosomal RNA
Rfam family: Bacterial small subunit ribosomal RNA
Source: RNAcentral
GACAGAGGGUGCAAACGUUGCUCGGAAUUACUGGGCGUAAAGCGCGUGUAGGCGGAUUGGUGUGUCAGAUGUGAAAUCCCUGGGCUCAACCCAGGAACUGCACCUGAAACUACCAGUCUUGAGUGGUGGAGAGGGAAGUGGAAUUCCUGGUGUAGAGGUGAAAUUCGUAGAUAUCAGGAGGAACACCAGUGGCGAAGGCGGCUUCCUGGACACCAACUGACGCUGAGACGCGAAAGCUAGGGGAGCGAACAGG